Molecule: ribosomal RNA, 214 nt
Filed under: Proteus mirabilis
Lineage: Bacteria; Pseudomonadati; Pseudomonadota; Gammaproteobacteria; Enterobacterales; Morganellaceae
Description: partial 23S ribosomal RNA
Rfam family: Bacterial large subunit ribosomal RNA
Source: RNAcentral
GAGGGAAAGGCGAAAAGAACCCCGGCGAGGGGAGUGAAAAAGAACCUGAAACCGUGUACGUACAAGCAGUAGGAGCCUCUUUAUGGGGUGACUGCGUACCUUUUGUAUAAUGGGUCAGCGACUUAUAUUCUGUAGCAAGGUUAACCGUAUAGGGGAGCCGUAGGGAAACCGAGUCUUAACUGGGCGAAUGAGUUGCAGGGUAUAGACCCGAAAC